RNAcentral lists this ribosomal RNA (252 nucleotides) under uncultured bacterium. RNAcentral's name for it is "partial 16S ribosomal RNA". It matches the Rfam family "Bacterial small subunit ribosomal RNA", at positions 524 to 776 of the family's 1533-position model. The record is from RNAcentral.
UACGAGGGGGCUAGCGUUGCUCGGAAUCACUGGGCGUAAAGCGCACGUAGGCGGCUUCUUAAGUCAGGGGUGAAAUCCUGGAGCUCAACUCCAGAACUGCCUUUGAUACUGAGGAGCUUGAGUCCGGGAGAGGUGAGUGGAACUGCGAGUGUAGAGGUGAAAUUCGUAGAUAUUCGCAAGAACACCAGUGGCGAAGGCGGCUCACUGGCCCGGUACUGACGCUGAGGUGCGAAAGCGUGGGGAGCAAACAGG